GACGAACGCUGGCGGCGUGCCUAAUACAUGCAAGUCGAACGCUUUUUCUUUCAACGGAGCUUGCUCCACCGAAAGAAAAAGAGUGGCGAACGGGUGAGUAACACGUGGGUAACCUGCCCAUCAGAAGGGGAUAACACUUGGAAACAGGUGCUAAUACCGUAUAACACUAUUUUCCGCAUGGAAGAAAGUUGAAAGGCGCUUUUGCGUCACUGAUGGAUGGACCCGCGGUGCAUUAGCUAGUUGGUGAGGUAACGGCUCACCAAGGCAACGAUGCAUAGCCGACCUGAGAGGGUGAUCGGCCACACUGGGACUGAGACACGGCCCAGACUCCUACGGGAGGCAGCAGUAGGGAAUCUUCGGCAAUGGACGAAAGUCUGACCGAGCAACGCCGCGUGAGUGAAGAAGGUUUUCGGAUCGUAAAACUCUGUUGUUAGAGAAGAACAAGGAUGAGAGUAAAACGUUCAUCCCUUGACGGUAUCUAACCAGAA
This 488-nucleotide ribosomal RNA is filed under the name Enterococcus casseliflavus. Its description in RNAcentral is "bacterial SSU rRNA". It matches the Rfam family "Bacterial small subunit ribosomal RNA", at positions 28 to 488 of the family's 1533-position model. The record is from RNAcentral. Lineage: Bacteria; Bacillati; Bacillota; Bacilli; Lactobacillales; Enterococcaceae.